Molecule: transfer RNA, 72 nt
Filed under: Phycisphaeraceae bacterium
Lineage: Bacteria; Pseudomonadati; Planctomycetota; Phycisphaerae; Phycisphaerales; Phycisphaeraceae
Also listed under: 2 other names
Description: tRNA-Thr
Rfam family: tRNA
About the family: Transfer RNA (tRNA) molecules are approximately 80 nucleotides in length. Their secondary structure includes four short double-helical elements and three loops (D, anti-codon, and T loops).
Source: RNAcentral
GCCAGCUUAGCUCAGUGGUAGAGCAAUGCUUUCGUAAAGCAUAGGUCUGGGGUUCAAAUCCCCAAGCUGGCU